This 60-nucleotide transfer RNA is filed under the name Pycnogonum diceros. Its description in RNAcentral is "tRNA-Trp". The record is from RNAcentral. Lineage: Eukaryota; Metazoa; Arthropoda; Pycnogonida; Pantopoda; Pycnogonidae.
GAAUUUAAGUUAAUAAAACUAUAAACCUUCAAAGUUUAAAAUAAUAAAAAUUAAUUCUUA